This 253-nucleotide ribosomal RNA is filed under the name uncultured bacterium. Its description in RNAcentral is "partial 16S ribosomal RNA". It matches the Rfam family "Bacterial small subunit ribosomal RNA", at positions 524 to 776 of the family's 1533-position model. The record is from RNAcentral.
UACGUAGGGUGCAAGCGUUGUCCGGAAUUAUUGGGCGUAAAGAGCUCGUAGGCGGUUUGUUGCGUCGGCUGUGAAAUCCCGAGGCUCAACCUCGGGUCUGCAGUCGAUACGAGCAAACUAGAGUGUUGCAGGGGAGACUGGAAUUCCUGGUGUAGCGGUGGAAUGCGCAGAUAUCAGGAGGAACACCGAUGGCGAAGGCAGGUCUCUGGGCCACUACUGACGCUGAGAAGCGAAAGCAUGGGGAGCGAACAGG